RNAcentral lists this ribosomal RNA (253 nucleotides) under uncultured prokaryote. Its description in RNAcentral is "partial 16S ribosomal RNA". It matches the Rfam family "Bacterial small subunit ribosomal RNA", at positions 524 to 776 of the family's 1533-position model. The record is from RNAcentral.
GACGUAGGGGGCAAGCGUUGUCCGGAAUCAUUGGGCGUAAAGCGCUCGUAGGCGGAUCAGUAAGUCUGUGAAGAAAGACCCGGGCUCAACUCGGGGAACGGCAUGGAUACUAUUGAUCUUGAGGUAAUCAGAGGAUGAUGGAAUUCCCGGUGUAGCGGUGAAAUGCGUAGAUAUUGGGAGGAACACCAGUGGCGAAGGCGGCUCACUGGACCGGUACUGACGCUGAGGCGCGAAAGCGUGGGGAGCAAACGGG